Haliotis rubra (blacklip abalone) is the source of this 639-nucleotide long non-coding RNA. RefSeq lists it as uncharacterized. NCBI's taxonomy places the organism in Eukaryota, Metazoa, Mollusca, Gastropoda, Lepetellida, Haliotidae. The record is from RefSeq and is a predicted model, not a curated record. The transcript has 3 exons.
UCUUCUAAGUGCGAUACUGGUGGAGACAGAUCUCUGGUGCCUCUUCAAGCCAAGCAGCCAAGUUCCAUACAAAGGACCAGAUUCCGCGGAGCCAGUUCACCCUAAAGGACCAGGAGACAACCCAUCAGUUCCAGACAGGACCAGGACCAUGCACACCGGGACCAACUCGCCACCUCCCGACCAGACAGGACCCAUCAUCAUUUCCGACGUCAACUCACUUCACAGCAGGACAAAACCGAAGUUUCGUGAGAGACACUGUGCAAGAACUGUGUGUAACGAACUGUUCUUCGUUUCCUAACAUUGUGACACUCCUUUGGGAUGAGGUCUCUGCAAGCGUGGUCACUACUGCUGACCAUACUGUAUAGUACGAUGGGUCAGGACCAUGACCGCCUCCACUAUGGGACCUUGUUUUCGGAAAGAGGGAAACUAACGGCUUUUGACGAAUCUUGGACACACACAUUCGCCCUAGAGUUACCAAAGCCAUACCUUCCUAACAGAUCGUAUGAGAUUCCAUCUUGUCUUAAACAGGAUGACACGGCAUGUAAAAAUACACACUUUCAUGUUAGCUCCAUCCUGACAUUCGUACGUAAUCUACACUCCCGCGCUAACUCAGACAUGGCAACCACAAUCAAAUUAAUU